UUUAUUUCUUGAGAUAUGCUCUUAUGAUUUCUCACAUUCUCUUUUUUAUCAACAAACUACGGGCUAGGUUUUAUGAUUGAAUCAAUCUGCAAAAGCAUUCAACUGUUUCUAUCCAGUUAAAUCUUGGCAAGCAUUUGGUGAGGCUUAGGAUUGAUUCUUUAUUACCUCUUGCUUUUGUGUUCUCUAAAUAAAUUGAUGGUUUCUUCGAUCUAGGAAACCUAUAAAGUGAGGAGUGAAAUAUAUUGCAAAGGUUUUUUUCC
RNAcentral lists this long non-coding RNA (260 nucleotides) under Nicotiana benthamiana. RNAcentral's name for it is "long non-coding RNA (NBEN_LNC012440)". The record is from RNAcentral. Lineage: Eukaryota; Viridiplantae; Streptophyta; Magnoliopsida; Solanales; Solanaceae.